This is a long non-coding RNA of Megalobrama amblycephala (Wuchang bream), 2812 nucleotides long. RefSeq lists it as uncharacterized. NCBI's taxonomy places the organism in Eukaryota, Metazoa, Chordata, Actinopteri, Cypriniformes, Xenocyprididae. The transcript is spliced from 11 exons. The record is from RefSeq and is a predicted model, not a curated record.
AUCAGCCCAUUUGGACUUUGUUUUCUGUUGCAGCAUUUUUCAUUGCAGUUUUUUUUGUUUAAGAAAUACUAACUUAAACCUUUUAUUUCACGGACAUAGUUUGCAUUCAUUCAUAAAUUGCAAUGUAACUGAAUCUAAUCUAAAUGUAUCCUACUUUUAAAUACUAUGUUCUAUUUUAUUUUAUUUAUUGAUUGUAGUGAGUGAAAUUGACCCCCCUCUGCCAAAUUAUGAUGGCCAUGUGGAUAGUGAGAAGUUUUGGGAGGCAGUAACAGUAGACAUGAUAAACCAAGGUUUUUAUAUAAGUGGGAUAAAGAUAAAGAUAAAGGGAUGAAGCCCUUCAUUGAGCACCCAAGCUACAGCUUUUGGGCUCCAUGGAUUGGUAUUCAUACUAGGUCAUCCAACAUGGUUCUCAAUACAGAGUAUAAGCUUCAUGAUUCACAAGACUCAACUGAGGAUGACAUACUGCUUACAGAAGAAAUGCUUGCUGAUGAGCUGCUAAAUCUCCGGACUGAGGAAAUAAGGGGUAUGGUAAGGGGUAUGGAAUAGAUCACAAAGGAUCUAAGAUGGAUUUAAUCAUCUGGCUUAAAGAGAGGAUGUCAAAUAGAGUCACCGACAACAAGGUUUUUGAAAAAGUGUGGGGUGCAUCUGGUAAGUCAAACUGUACAGUUAUGUAUUAGGGUGGCAUAAAAGUAUUGAUAUACGUUAUUGUUUACAUAAUCAUUUUGCUGUUGAAAUUGCUUCAAAUUGAGGUGAUUUUGUCAGUUUUAAGCUGUGGGGUUAUAAAAAUGUAUAGAUACAAACAUAUUGAGUAUUCAUGGAUUUUGAGUUGACAUGUCUUUCACUUUAGGUGGCUGUGCUGUUACAACCUGCCUGUGUGGAGUUGUGUCUGUGAAAUUUAACAUCAGAGCAGAAAGCCCUCGUGAUUAUGCUAACCUCCUGCUUUCAUGGAAAAGUACCAAAUGGUACUGUGUACGACUACCCAAGGGGUCUAGCCUCACAUGCAAACCAUUGUUCAAAGAAAUUGUUUCAUCCUUUUUGAAGGUCGAUUACUGCACCUAUCUGAAGAGAAUAUCAAGAAGGCAUCUGAAAAUGACUUGGAAGUCAGUUUGCCAUAUUAACCACCAAAAAGAACCAGCUGAUCAAGAUGGUCACCCUGUUACUGGUUCAUGUGACCAUUAUGUUUUAUGUUAUGUGUUCCAUCAAAACAAUAGUAAGGAUCUUAGGGAUUCCUUGAGAAAGUGUAACGAGGCGGCAGACUCGGUGGGAUCCAUGUGCAGCUUUAUUAAACAAUUGUAGUCAUACAGGCAGGGGUCAAAUACCAACAAUAGCUAUGUCAGAGGCAAAACGUAAUCAGAAACAGGGACAGGCAAAUGGUCAGGGCAGGCGGAAGACAAGGCAGAGUAAUCCAGUAAACAGUCAGAUAAAUCACAAGGCAGGCAGCAGGCAAAACAUGGAGGUAUAAGGCAGCCCAAGGUCAUAUACAGAAUCACAAUAAACAGGGGAAACCGCUCAGUAAUGUUAGCCAGGGCAAAACAAGACUUUGCAAAGAGUGAGUGUGUGCGUGUGCUUAAAUAGUCCGGGUUAUUGGGAUCAGGUGCGUGGGUAAUCAGCCCAGAUAUGGGGUUAUGGGAAAUGUAGUCCAGGACAGGUUAGUACUCAGGUGAGGGAGCCCUCUGGUGGCGAUUGGAGGGAGCCACAGAGGCCAAGUUCAUGACAGAAAGAUUUAUCUUGGAGCUUGCAGGAAAAAUAAACAGUCAGACAACUCUUUUCAGAUAUGAAGAAAAAUAACUGCUUCCUGAAUAUGAUGAAACCAUCAACCAUCAUCCCACAUUUUCCUUGCAAGAAAUAUUUUGCAGCAUAAAAAUGUUGCAUAGAACAAUAAGGUUGUGAAGCAGUUAAGAAAACUUGCUGACAAGAACACUGCAAUGGAAAGAUAAUUUUGGGUAAUAUAUUAUCACUGUGUGCAUGUAUAUAUGUAUAUAGUAAAGAUAUAUAUGAAUGUGUAUGUAUAUGCUUAUCUGUUUUAGGUGCAGCCAGUCCUCAAUCCUCAAUUGAGAGUCCUCAAUCCUCCAAAACUAUUGAGACUGGAGUAUGCAGUCAAAAUUCAGGUUGCACAUGUGUUGGACCCCAACGGUGACCUGGAGGAACAUAUCGUUUCUGUAGGAUCGACUGUGCUGUUGCAUUCCGAUUUGUUGUCUUUAGGACUGUCAGAAGAAGUUGAAGCAAUGUCAUUGAUUUUGAGCUGUUGCCUAAGAAUCAGAGCACAUCGCUUUCCGCAUGGAAAUAAGGUGGUAGUGACCUGGCUUCCGCCACUUUCUUGUUUCCCUGAGUUGUCCCUUCCGCCUAAUUUUAGCCAGACAGACCUUGUAGUUCUGCCAGCUUGGGUACCUGCCUGGCCACUGGCUACUGUGUGAGCAUGGCAAAACUCAUCGACAGCAGAGAGUGGAUGGAGCUUCACCAUUCAAAAGAGUAUACAGUUGUGACAACAAUCAGCCCUGGAAAUCCUUUCUGAAAUCUUCAGUGAAGUUAUUUUGUCAACGGGUGACUCUGCAUAUUUGACACUUCCUCUGGUGUUGCCAACUGGAAGAAUUUCACUCCCGUCUACCGGAAAGAGGGAAAGGGUGGGAAGAGGCCGACAUGAUGAACUUCUGGGCUUUUACUUUUUUUGCAGCAGGAAACACAUUGGUGUCUUAAGUUCAUAUAAGGGAAAGAGAGAAUGAACUGAGAUCAACUGGUUUUGAUGUAUUAAUUGAUGUCAUUUAAAGUUUGCCGUGUAUAGUGUUCUAAUAAAAAAAAAGCUAUGGCAAACACA